Molecule: small nuclear RNA, 325 nt
Filed under: Vulpes vulpes (red fox)
Lineage: Eukaryota; Metazoa; Chordata; Mammalia; Carnivora; Canidae
Description: 7SK RNA (ENSVVUG00000003186.1)
Rfam family: 7SK RNA
About the family: 7SK was discovered as an abundant small nuclear RNA in the mid-70s but a possible function has only recently been suggested. Two independent studies have found that 7SK RNA binds the CDK9/cyclin T complex (known as elongation factor P-TEFb). P-TEFb activates transcription by phosphorylating the C-terminal domain of RNA polymerase II.
Source: Rfam by way of RNAcentral
GGAUGUGAGGGCGAUCUGGCUGCAACAUCUAUCACCCUCUUGAUUGCCAGGAUUAAUUCUGCUGAUCUGGUUGGCUAAGGGGAUGUCCCCUUCCUCCCUCCUCCCUCGCAGCUCCAAGUGCAACCUCUCCAAGGUGAGGGUUUGGUGGAAGAAGACAACAUUCCCUGAUAAAAGAGGACCGUUCUUCCAUCAAGGGAAUAGGAAUAGCUGGGCUCCUCCAAACAAGCUUUCAUAGUCCAUUCGUAGGAAAAAGUAGAGUAAUCAAGCUUCCAAGACUCCAGACACAUCCAAAUGAUCCACUGCAUGUGGCAGUCUGCCUUCCUUU